AGAGUUUGAUCAUGGCUCAGGAUGAACGCUAGCGGCAGGCCUAAUACAUGCAAGUCGAACGGGAUCCACCAGCUUGCUGGUGGUGAGAGUGGCGCACGGGUGCGUAACGCGUGAGCAACCUGCCCGUCCCAGGGGGAUAGCCCCUCGAAAGAGGGAUUAACACCGCAUAAAGUUAUAUACCGGCAUCGGUUGUAUAACCAAAUAUUUAUAGGGGACGGAUGGGCUCGCGUGGCAUUAGCUAGUUGGUAGGGUAACGGCUUACCAAGGCUAUGAUGCCUAGGGGCUCUGAGAGGAGAAUCCCCCACACUGGUACUGAGACACGGACCAGACUCCUACGGGAGGCAGCAGUAAGGAAUAUUGGUCAAUGGGCGGGAGCCUGAACCAGCCAUGCCGCGUGCAGGAGGACUGCCCUAUGGGUUGUAAACUGCUUUUGCACGGGAACAAACACCGGCACGCGUGCCGGCUUGAGUGUACCGUGAGAAUAAGGAUCGGCUAACUCCGUGCCAGCAGCCGCGGUAAUACGGAGGAUCCGAGCGUUAUCCGGAUUUAUUGGGUUUAAAGGGUGCGUAGGCGGCAUGCUAAGUCAGUGGUGAAAGACGGUGGCUCAACCAUCGCAGUGCCGUUGAUACUGGUGUGCUUGAAUGCGGAUGAGGUAGGCGGAAUGUGGCAAGUAGCGGUGAAAUGCAUAGAUAUGCCACAGAACACCGAUUGCGAAGGCAGCUUACCAAGGCGAUAUUGACGCUGAUGCACGAAAGCGUGGGGAUCGAACAGGAUUAGAUACCCUGGUAGUCCACGCCCUA
This 800-nucleotide ribosomal RNA is filed under the name uncultured Parapedobacter sp. RNAcentral describes it as "bacterial SSU rRNA". It matches the Rfam family "Bacterial small subunit ribosomal RNA", at positions 8 to 804 of the family's 1533-position model. The record is from RNAcentral. Lineage: Bacteria; Pseudomonadati; Bacteroidota; Sphingobacteriia; Sphingobacteriales; Sphingobacteriaceae.